ACCCAACUCUGCUCGCUGAAAAUGCGACCUCUUAAAUGAUCAUUGCAGGCGCCACUGUUACCCACCUAUACAGCCACCACCACCACCACCACCACCACCUCCGCACCACUCACUCCCUGCAGCUUCUAAUACUUUUAUUUCUUUUGUUGUCUUUCCCCUUACUUUCUUUCAUUUUUUUUUUUUUUAAUGCUGUCUCUGGAAAGGAAAAGAAAGAAUCCCAAAUCAUCCACAGAUGGUACAACUUUCACUUUUCCUCUCUUAGGACCGAGGCGCGCCUCUUUCUCCCGGCUCACUCAUACCCCACCCCCGAUGGGAAGCGCAAGCUGGAGGAAGCCCCCGCCGCGGCGCUCCUCGCGCGCACCCACCUCACCGCCCGCCGCCUUCAGCGCCCGACCCUCGGGGGCUAGCGGAGUUCCUUUCAGCCCUCGGGAAAAGGAGUCGGGGCGAGGGGAGCAGUCGCCGCAACUGCUCCAAACUUCGUCCCCCGACCUCCCAACUCCGGGAGGUGAAAUUCUCCAGCCCGUCUCCGGAUGGCCGCCAGUGUAUCCAGCCUGGACCUGUAACCCAAACAAGGAGUUCCCAAGGGAGGAACAACGAAAGGAAAAGAAAACUCUGGUGGCAUUCCCGAAUCCAUUCUUCCUGGGGUCAUCUGAGAUUCCGCCCACCCUCCGGUGGCCGCCCGCAGCGCCUCGGAGCUCAGGGUGCACUAGUGUUGACUCCUAGAGCAUCUUUGACUGAAGGAUUUUUUUGCGUAGGUGGAUGAAUGAUUAGCUAUUAUGAUCUGAAGAGCAUUUUGAGAUUCACAUGCUUAGCUGGAGAAUUUUUUAAGGGAAUUGUUGGUGGUAUUCACUAUUUGUUUCCUGGGACUUGUUGCUUAUCUCAAAGAUAUCACAAAAGCAGACCCUGACUUAAGCUUUUAUGGUAGAAGCAGUGGAGAUAAAGGAGGACUGAAGGUCCUUAUGAGCCAUUUAUUUUACAGUUUCUCUCUGUAUUUCACCAUGAUUGGAAGAAAAAAAAAAUCACUGACUCAUCAUUCAGAGCAGUAGCCUUAGGAUUCAAGGGUGGUGGUCCCAGCUUCCCCUCACUAACUGGCCUCAGGCCCAGGAGGAUUCUCUGAGCAUCCACAGGCUCUGGGCUCAUCUGUGGACUGGUGAUAGGAAAACCAGGCCAGUCCGCAUACCUCCCAGGAUUUGAAAGAGCUUCCAAGGAGAUAAUGCAUGUGAAAGUGGAAAUGGAUACAAAUGCCUAAGAAUUGUAUUAUGCUCUUUCCCACAUAUACUUCAGCAUCAGUCACAAUAUUUUUUUGUAUUCAAGUACUGCUUCUGCCUCAAUCACAUGAAUGCAAAUAAUGCAUUCCUGAUAGCCUCCUCUGUUCACCCAAUGGCAAAAAAAAAAAAAAAGUAAAAAGGAGAACGACAGCCAAUAAAUCAACAACUGGAAUAAACUAGAUAUUUUGA
This 1457-nucleotide long non-coding RNA is filed under the name Bos mutus (wild yak). RNAcentral describes it as "lncRNA (ENSBMUG00000019992.1)". The record is from RNAcentral. Lineage: Eukaryota; Metazoa; Chordata; Mammalia; Artiodactyla; Bovidae.